UACGUAGGGGGCUAGCGUUGUCCGGAAUCAUUGGGCGUAAAGCGCGUGUAGGCGGCCCGGUAAGUCCGCUGUGAAAGUCGGGGGCUCAACCCUCGGAUGCCGGUGGAUACUGCCUUGCUCGAGUACUGGAGAGGAGACUGGAAUUUACGGUGUAGCAGUGAAAUGCGUAGAUAUCGUAAGGAAGACCAGUGGCGAAGGCGAGUCUCUGGACAGUUACUGACACUGAGGCACGAAGGCCAGGGGAGCAAACGGG
Molecule: ribosomal RNA, 253 nt
Filed under: uncultured bacterium
Lineage: Bacteria
Description: partial 16S ribosomal RNA
Rfam family: Bacterial small subunit ribosomal RNA
Source: RNAcentral